Molecule: long non-coding RNA, 2311 nt
Organism: Anolis carolinensis (green anole)
Lineage: Eukaryota; Metazoa; Chordata; Lepidosauria; Squamata; Anolidae
Exons: 2
Source: RefSeq, a predicted model, not a curated record
UAUAUCUACUGAUAAAAAUCUGUAAAUAUAAAUUUAUGAUAUCCACUUUUGGUAACCUUCCCUCAGACCAGUUACUAGGUCCAAAAAACAUCUCAGAUGGGCCCUUUCAAUAUAGCUUGGUUUGCAACUAUCAAGAAUUUGCUGUUUCUCACUUAGUAAAGUGACCUGAUUAAGUAUUCAGUAGGGUUGUCCUGGGAACAGGUGUCCCCUUGGAGAUAGGGGAUGAGAUGAAGUGGCGUUGCACUCAAAUGUGGUAUGAGUCUUGUUCUUUUUCCCUAUUAGAUUUUUCUAUAAUUGGUUAUAUUAUAGUCGCUAUAAUUUCUCUAAUUUUCCAUUGUUUAUUUUAAUGUAUGUGUCAAAUUGUUUCCAAUUUAUAGUGGCCCUGCAGCUUACCUACCAUGGGAUUUUCUUGACAAUUCUUUUCAGAGCACAUUGUCAUUGUCUUUCUCUUUUACUGAAAUACUGUGACUUGUCCAACGUCACCCAGGUGGAUUUCUAUUUUUGACAAGAGAUGUGAAUUGUUACCAGGAUUCCUUGUCCAGCUUUUAAGUCCUAGUCCAUGACAACACAGUGGAUCUCAGAUCUAGACUAACUUAUUUUAAUCUCAAAAAGAGCAGGAAAGAGCACAUUGAAAGUAGUGAUGUAACAGUAUAUAAAGGGAUCUUGUAUCAUUUUUAAGACUAUAUAAGAGAAAGAAGUUGGUAGCAUAAGAUUUUAUAGACUAAGUGUAUUUUCUCAGAUGCAUGAAGUGCCCUUAUGCCACCAACUUCAUUUUCUCAGUUAAACUCAAAGGUACAGUAGAGUCUCACUUAUCCAACGUUGGUUUAUCCAACAUUCUGGAUUAUCCAAUGCAGUCAGCUUUUUAGUAGUCAAUGUUUUUGUAGCCAACGUUUUCAAUACAUUGUGAUAUUUUGGUGCUAAAUUCGUAAAUACAAUAAUUACUCCAUAGCAUUAUUACAUAUCGAACUACUUUUUCUGUCAAAUUUGUUGUAUAACAUGAUGCUUUGGUGCUUAAUUUGUAAAAUCAUAACCUAAUUUGAUGUUUAAUAGGCUUUUCCUUAAUCCCUCCUUAUUAUCCAACAUAUUCACUUAUACAAUGUUCUGCCAGCCCGUUUAUGUUGGGUAAAUGAGACUCUACUGUACUACAAAAUCUCUUCACAUACUUAUAUUCCAGAUCAACCCAGCUGUCUUUGAAUCUAAUCCCUGUAGUCCUAUAUUAUAUCUAUAAUGUCAAAAAACUAGAAAUUUGAAAGAGGCUGACUCGUUACAUAUUUACUGUGGGGUGGACAUUACAGGAUAGGUGUUUGAUAGCCGUACUUGAUGCACAAUUGUGCGUAGCAAUAUAUUGCUACUGCAUUGUGCUCAACAUUUUCUGAUUAACAGUCUUCUUUUACAACAAGGAUUUUUUUUAACAGAGUAGAAAGGAGAAGACAUAUAUGAUAGCAACACUAAUUUGCUGAACUAACAGCAAAAGUUGUGGCUAUUGGACUAUCAUAUCAUAUUAGUUCUAACAGUAUGCAAAUAUAAGAUUACAACCCUAGACACCAGUGUUCUUAUGAAACGAAGAUUUUUAAAAAAUAAAAUGUUAAAAAGAAAACAACAAGCUUUGGCUUGUUUAUUUAUUUAUUAACUUGGUAAUAUAUUAGAACAUUUUUGGGAACGACCUCAGUAAAAACUAAAUAUUGCUGUUCUUCUGUGAUGCCUAAUAAUUGUUAUAAUAUUAACAAUAAUGUAAUACAACAUAUCUGUCAGGGUUUGCAAUACAGGCGAAGAUGAAAGGCUGCUAGGCCCAGCAUCUGAGUUAACUCGGGAUCAGGAGAGCAAUGAGGCAGAGUUAAGUAUCCCAGAAAGAUUACAGCUGAGAACCCAUGCUAUUCAGCUGUGUAGAUCCGCCCAGUUGGCACAGAAGGGCCAACAGGUGAGAGCACUUGUGCUAUGGAGCAUAAAGAGUGGCAGUUUGGAUUUGGCCUUUGCUGGGUGCAAUGUUUGGAAUCUGCUACAGCUUGGAGUUCUGUAGGAUGUGUCUUAUCAUGUGUUAGACCUUGACUUUGGACUACGUAUAGUUUGGAUGUGUUGAGCUCAGAGGGCAUCUAGCCAUUUAGGAUAGCUCCACUGGAAGACUUGAUGAAGGCAGAAAACUACAAUUUUGUUUCUGCUACCAUGGCACUGGAGUAUAUCCAGAGUAAACCAAGAGAUUUGCUGAGCUCCACUUAGUGGGAAGGGAUGCUCAGAGACAAUUGCAGAAGUUUCAACAGUAUCACCUCCUAUGGCAACAAGAAACUCCCCAAAAGCCACCAGGGAUCCAGAUAGG